CCUACGGGAGGCAGCAGUGAGGAAUAUUGGACAAUGGGCGCAAGCCUGAUCCAGCCAUGCCGCGUGCAGGAAGACGGUCCUAUGGAUUGUAAACUGCUUUUGUACAGGAAGAAACACUCCCUCGUGAGGGAGCUUGACGGUACUGUAAGAAUAAGGAUCGGCUAACUCCGUGCCAGCAGCCGCGGUAAUACGGAGGAUCCAAGCGUUAUCCGGAAUCAUUGGGUUUAAAGGGUCCGUAGGCGGUUUAAUAAGUCAGUGGUGAAAUCUGGUCGCUCAACGAUCAAACGGCCAUUGAUACUGUUAGACUUGAAUUAUUAGGAAGUAACUAGAAUAUGUAGUGUAGCGGUGAAAUGCUUAGAUAUUACAUGGAAUACCAAUUGCGAAGGCAGGUUACUACUAAUGGAUUGACGCUGAUGGACGAAAGCGUGGGGAGCGAACAGGAUUAGAUACCCUGGUAGUCCACGCCGUAAACGAUGGAUACUAGACUGUUGGGUCGGCGACGUUACGUAGUGGUCGUAAGACGAAGUAGAGUAAGUAAGUACCCACCCGUACGGGUAGGUACGGUUUAGUCGAAGAAGUAGUAAACGUACGAAAGUAAGUUAGUACGGACGUGAGACGUAGACCGACGGACGACGACGAGGGAGGAGG
This 648-nucleotide ribosomal RNA is filed under the name uncultured bacterium. Its description in RNAcentral is "bacterial SSU rRNA". The stretch from base 1 to 547 matches the Rfam family "Bacterial small subunit ribosomal RNA", at positions 338 to 873 of the family's 1533-position model. The record is from RNAcentral.